GUAACCUUCCGAAACGGAGGCAGAAUUGCCCCACUGUACCUAGCCCAGCCCUGAAGGCGACGACCAAAGGGCUCUUUCUCGCUUCCUUAGGUCUUAUGGUCUGAUUCCUCAGUGACCGUGGUAACAAAGUCUUCUGCCGAAGUGACCGAUUUCAUUUCAAAGUUAGGUCAGUUGUGCCCAGAAGAAAAUUUGGAGAAAUUCAUUCCUUUUCUAACUGGUCCAGAUUCGUUUUACUUAGAAAGAAGCCAUAUGGACUUGGAAUCAGACCUGAGGUAUUUGGCAUCCUUACCGUCCCAUAUCUGGAAAAAUGACCACGUCAAGAAAUUUUUCAGCACUUCAUGUCACUCCCCACAAUAUCAAAGUUCAAGUGAGUUUAAAGACCAAGCGCCACCUCAACCCUCUCCCAAAAUAUAUGUGUAUAAUAACUCUCUAAACACUGUGAUAUCCUUGUUUUUAGGUCCCAGCAAUUCUUCCCUUUACAAAGUGGGUACGAUGCUGGGUGCUUCCGGAAGGUGAGAUGAAUUUAGGGAGCGGGUAGAAUACAGAAAAACAGAAAAGUAGUUCCACUUGCUGUGUAUUUAAGGGAAAUGGC
RNAcentral lists this long non-coding RNA (592 nucleotides) under Pseudonaja textilis. RNAcentral describes it as "lncRNA (ENSPTXG00000009557.1)". Lineage: Eukaryota; Metazoa; Chordata; Lepidosauria; Squamata; Elapidae. The record is from RNAcentral.